This is a non-coding RNA of Nerophis ophidion (straightnose pipefish), 70 nucleotides long. The record is from the annotation of a RefSeq genome assembly. NCBI's taxonomy places the organism in Eukaryota, Metazoa, Chordata, Actinopteri, Syngnathiformes, Syngnathidae.
GCAUUGGUGGUUCAGUGGUAGAAUUUUCGCCUGCCACGGGGAGGCCCAGGUUCGAAUCCCGGCCAAUGCA